Molecule: ribosomal RNA, 402 nt
Filed under: bacterium
Lineage: Bacteria
Also listed under: 1 other name
Description: partial 16S ribosomal RNA
Rfam family: Bacterial small subunit ribosomal RNA
Source: RNAcentral
UGGGGAAUUUUGCACAAUGGGGGAAACCCUGAUGCAGCGACGCCGCGUGAUUUAGAAGGCCUUCGGGUUGUAAAAAUCUUUUCUAUGGGAAGAAAAUGACAGUACCAUAGGAAUAAGGACCGGCUAAUUACGUGCCAGCAGCCGCGGUAAUACGUAAGGUCCGAGCGUUGUCCGGAAUCAUUGGGCGUAAAGGGUACGUAGGCGGGUAAGCAAGUUAGAAGUGAAAUCCUAUAGCUCAACUAUAGUAAGCUUUUAAAACUGCUCAUCUUGAAGUAUGGAAGGGAAAGUGGAAUUCCUAGUGUAGCGGUGAAAUGCGCAGAUAUUAGGAGGAAUACCGGUGGCGAAGGCGACUUUCUGGCCAUAACCUGACGCUGAGGUACGAAAGCGUGGGUAGCAAACAGG